GACGUAGGGGGCCAGCGUUGUUCGGAAUUACUGGGUGUAAAGGGUUCGUAGGCGGUGUGGCAAGUUGGGAGUGAAAUCUCUGGGCUCAACCCAGAGGCUGCUUCCAAAACUGCUGUGCUUGAGUGUGGGAGAGGCGCGUGGAAUUGCAGGUGUAGCGGUGAAAUGCGUAGAUAUCUGCAGGAACACCCGUGGCGAAAGCGGCGCGCUGGACCACAACUGACGCUGAGGAACGAAAGCUAGGGGAGCAAACAGG
This 253-nucleotide ribosomal RNA is filed under the name uncultured bacterium. RNAcentral's name for it is "partial 16S ribosomal RNA". It matches the Rfam family "Bacterial small subunit ribosomal RNA", at positions 524 to 776 of the family's 1533-position model. The record is from RNAcentral.